AUGGCAGACCGGCCUCAUCAGCCCCUCUCCAAAGGGCUCCGUGCAGCAGCCCCAAGGCAGGUUCCUAUCUCCCUCGUGAGGUUCCAUUUAAUGCAUCACAAAGGACAGAAGGGACUCAGGGCCAAAGUGGGGGGACCUCCACUACCCAACCUUCCUCGGCACCCGGGUCCCUCUAGAGCCUGGUAUGUCCUCCCCCAGGGCCACUGUCCACCCCUCCACCCCACACAUGAGAAAACCAGCUGUUUGCGGGAGGCUCCUCCAGGACAGUGCCAGGCGAUCACCUCUGUCGAAGCUUCCCUCCAAAGGAAGAGCCUUGUCUGUGCCUUGAUACCGCGAGCGGUCCCACAGGUGCUUGGGUUAGCACAGGACCGAGUGCUCCACAGACGGUUUCAGAGGCUGAGAAAUGGCAGAGCCAAGUCCAAGGUCAACCAUGAAGUCAUCUGCAGAGCCAACUUGUCUCAUUGCUCGGUCGGCCGUUGCUUGUAGCUCCGGCUGCUGUCGGGUUGGGUUCUUCGGAAGGUGCACACCCACGCCGUGCUCUCGUGACUCACGGGGGCUCCUAAAGGUGGUCUGGCCCUGACGUAUGGUUUCCGUGGGGUCAGAGGCUUGUCGCUGGACCAGAGGAGAAGGAGAACCGGCAGGAGAAGAGGGGGGGUAUCUCAUGGACAGACAGAGGACAGAAAGUGAGAAAAUGAGGGAAAGGACAGUACCGAUCAGAGUCCUGUUUACAGAAACCCCCAGGAAAGAUGCCCAGAGAGGAAAAAGUCAGAUGUGAAUCCUGGGUGAGAAGUCUGACGCUGCGCCAGGAGUGGGAGCCACCGUAAGCAUAAGGCAGGUCUCCACUCUUGGAAGGGGGGGGUCCAGGUGUUUGGGGACCUGGGAGAGUGUAAUCCACCCCAACACGGGGCUGGUCCAGAACAGAAGAGAGCUGAGAGAGAGCGCCCAGAGGCCUCUGGGGUUUUAGAAUGAAGCUUUGGGUACACGUUUCUCCCUCUGCUCACCCAGCAUUGGGGGUUCCUGACAGCACGUCGAGUGUUGGGCUCGUGGGGCAGAGCUGCUCUUGUCACACCCCAGCUCGGCAUGUGCUCCCUGAGAGCAGGAAGAGGGUCUUUAUGUGGAGCCCCUCGACCAGAUGCCCCGUGACUUGUGCAGGAUGGGCUCAGUGAACAUCCAAGCCUCG
This 1180-nucleotide long non-coding RNA is filed under the name Vulpes vulpes (red fox). RNAcentral describes it as "lncRNA (ENSVVUG00000016150.1)". Lineage: Eukaryota; Metazoa; Chordata; Mammalia; Carnivora; Canidae. The record is from RNAcentral.